Molecule: non-coding RNA, 1338 nt
Organism: Rattus norvegicus (Norway rat)
Lineage: Eukaryota; Metazoa; Chordata; Mammalia; Rodentia; Muridae
Source: RefSeq, a predicted model, not a curated record
GGCAAGAACUAGAGCAGAGACCUUGGAGGAAUGCUGCUUACUAACUUGUUCUGCCUGCUUUUCUGUAGUAGCCAGAACCACCAGCUCAGGGUUGGCACUGACCACAGUGAGUUGUAGAAAGGUUGACCCUCCUGCAUCAAUCAUCUAUCAAGAAGAUGCCCUACAGACUUGCCUACAGAGCAAUCAUAUAGAGUCAUUUUCUCAAUUAAGAUUCCUUCCUUACAGAUGAUCCUGGCUUAUCAGGUUGACACAAAAACUAGAUAGCACAACAGGUCCUAGAAGAUAAUUUACUAUAACUCAGCGAAUGGGACAUAGUAUUAAUAUGACUCCAGAGGACUUUUCACUAUACCUGUAGACUAGUUACUCUGCUACACCUCGACCUCCUUAUUGCGCUAAGUGGCAAUUAACCGAGAGACCAACGAAUGGUGAAAAGGCAGAAAAUAAGUGACUGAGGAGUGUGCAGCCCUAAAUGAUACUUCUAUAUGAAAAUCAUCCCUCCCAGAAAUCAGGGAUCACUGCAGAAGAGAGGAGUAAAGAGUGCAAGAGUCAGAGACAGAGGAUGACUAUAAAGAAACUAUUUUCCAGACACAUUAAAGCAGUUGCACGUAUGACCCAGUACUGGUUAAAACAAUGAGCACAUGACCUGCACAAGCUUAAGCCAGGCAAAAAUCCCAUUGAGAAGAGGACGAGUGGGCAUGAAGUCUCACCGCUAACUGGGAAGCUCAUCUGGUUCCUGAAUCUUCACUGGCAAAAUCUGAACGCUGGGCAUUUUGGCUUUAAACAUCUGGACUUCCAACUUCUGCCAAGGCCCCAGGGACAGUGAGACCACUUCCUUUGAGGAGAACCUGAGAAGCCAUCGAAUUUGGUCUGGUGCAUAAAGCCAGAAGCAGCCACAGGGAUGGAAGUGUUUCUCAAGAUCGAACACAGGAAGACCAGCAUCUUUACUGAGGCCAAGGAGUCGACCACGGUGUUAGAGCUGAAGCACAUUGUCGAGGGCAUCAUGAAGAGGCCUCCUGAGGAUCAGCUGCUGUUCAAGGACAACCAGCUCCUUGAAGAGAGAAAAACACUGUGGCUUCACCAGCGAGGUAACAAAGUCACAGGACCCAGCCAGCAUGACCUUGGCCUUCAGGGAAGACGCCUUUCAACUCCUGCAUGUCCGCCCUUUUUCUUGUCCACUAAUUGGAGGUGUGCUGAAAAAUGGUCUAGACUUGAGAGAGAUUAGGAACGAGUUAUGCAGUGAGGGCCCCAGGCCCACUCCUAGGAAUUCACUUCCUGAUAAAGAUGUGACUGUCUUUCUACAUUAAAAAAUAAAUAAACUUAAUACACUGUCAAAAAAAA